This 148-nucleotide ribosomal RNA is filed under the name Agriocnemis pygmaea. RNAcentral describes it as "5.8S rRNA". It matches the Rfam family "5.8S ribosomal RNA". Rfam says of the family: 5.8S ribosomal RNA (5.8S rRNA) is a component of the large subunit of the eukaryotic ribosome. It is transcribed by RNA polymerase I as part of the 45S precursor that also contains 18S and 28S rRNA. RNAcentral also lists the same sequence under 3 other names. The record is from RNAcentral. Lineage: Eukaryota; Metazoa; Arthropoda; Insecta; Odonata; Coenagrionidae.
CGGUGGAUCACUCGGCUCGUGGAUCGAUGAAGGACGCAGCAAAAUGCGCGUCGAAUUGUGAACUGCAGGACACAUGAACAUCGACGCUUCGAACGCACAUUGCAGCCCACGGAUUCUGUUCCCGGGCUACGCCUGGCUGAGGGCCGGC